This 21-nucleotide non-coding RNA is filed under the name Arabidopsis thaliana (thale cress). Lineage: Eukaryota; Viridiplantae; Streptophyta; Magnoliopsida; Brassicales; Brassicaceae. The record is from RNAcentral.
AUUAUUCUUGGUCUGUGUUGC